Molecule: ribosomal RNA, 467 nt
Filed under: uncultured bacterium
Lineage: Bacteria
Description: partial 16S ribosomal RNA
Rfam family: Bacterial small subunit ribosomal RNA
Source: RNAcentral
GAUGAACGCUGACAGCAUGCUUAACACAUGCAAGUCAACCGGAAAGUGGGUUUUUUUGUUCGGUUUGCGUGGCGGACGGGUGAGUAACGCGCAAAGAACUUGCCUCCCUGCUAGGGACAACAUUUGGAAACGAAUGCUAAUACCUAAUAUUAUGAUAAUAGGGCAUCCUAGAAUUAUGAAAGCUAUAGGCGCUGUGGGAGAGCUUUGCGUCCAAUUAGCUAGUUGGAGAGGUAACGGCUCACCAAGGCGAUGAUGGGUAGCCGGCCUGAGAGGGUGAUCGGCCACAAGGGGACUGGGGAACGGCCAUUACUCCAACGGGAGGAAGGGGUGGGAAAUUUUCGGAACUGGACCGAGAGUGUGAUGCAGCAAUUCUGUGUGCAAGAUGAAGUUUUUCGGGAUGAAAAGAGGUUUCAGUUGGGAAGAAACAAAUGACGGUACCAACAGAAGAAGUGACGGCUAAAUACGUG